Molecule: ribosomal RNA, 441 nt
Filed under: uncultured bacterium
Lineage: Bacteria
Description: partial 16S ribosomal RNA
Rfam family: Bacterial small subunit ribosomal RNA
Source: RNAcentral
CCUACGGGAGGGCAGCAGUGGGGAACAUUGCACAAUGGGGGAAACCCUGAUGCAGCAACGCCGCGUGAGUGAAGAAGUAUUUCGGUAUGUAAAGCUCUAUCAGCAGGGAAGAAAAUGACGGUACCUGAGUAAGAAGCCCCGGCUAACUACGUGCCAGCAGCCGCGGUAAUACGUAGGGGGCAAGCGUUAUCCGGAUUUACUGGGUGUAAAGGGAGCGUAGAGGGCGAUGCAAGUCUGACGUGAAAGCCCGGGUCUCAACCCCGGGACUGCUUUGGAAACUGUAUGGCUGGAGUGCUGGAGAGGCAAGCGGAAUGCCUAGUGUAGCGGUGAAAUGCGUAGAUAUUAGGAAGAACACCAGUGGCGAAGGCGGCUUGCUGGACAGUAACUGACGUUGAGGCUCGAAAGCGUGGGGAGCAAACAGGAUUAGAUACCCGGGUAGUC